CUUAGAUGAUGAUCAGAUUACAUUUUAUGACCAAUUUGUGUAGAAAUCCAUAUCAUUCCAAAGGGUUCACAUACUUUUUCUUGCAACUGUAUAUUGUGAUCAUUUGGCCAAAUUUGUCUAUUAUAUUUCUUUUUCCCUUUUUACACUGAGGGAUAAAGUAAUGGAAAAGUGAUAUACUACUGUACUACUGCAACAUAUAUUGAUGUGGA
Non-coding RNA from Pelobates cultripes (western spadefoot toad), 209 nucleotides. Lineage: Eukaryota; Metazoa; Chordata; Amphibia; Anura; Pelobatidae. The record is from the annotation of a GenBank genome assembly.